AAAAGUCAAUAAAAUUCACAAAAAAUAAAAAAAUUCACAACGAAUAUUUUAAAUUAUUUUAUUAAUAAAAUAAAUAUAAAAAUACCGAAAAUACAAAAAUUCAUAAAAACUUCAAAACAAAUCAUUCACGAGAAUCAUUUGAAGAUAGUGAAUUUUUUCUAAUCUGAAUUAGAGUAAUCAUAACCCAGAGACUGAUUGCUAUUUUAGAUUUUUUUUUAAUAUGUUAUGUUCUAUGUGUGUGUUGGUUGGAUUUGGAAAAGUUCAGGAUUGUUAAAGGGAAGAAUGUAUACUAAUGAUAGCUAGAGCUUGAUUGCAUGCCGUAUUACCAACCCCAAGCGAGAAUCAGUAAUUUUGCUCUCGUAGUCUUAUCUCACUCUCUCUUUUCGCUAGCUGUAAGCAAUUAAAUUUUUUUUUCAGAGAUUGAUUAGAAGAGGUUAUAGCUUUGAUUUUUUUGCUUUAGAUUCUGUGGUUUUAUUUUUAGAUUUUAUUACUGUAGAACUAAUUUAAAGUUUAAAAGCACUAAACAUAAAACUGUAAAAACAUUAAUUUCUAAAUCAAUUUAUUUCAUUUUCAAGUUUUUGGGCUAUAACUUUAGAUUUUCUUACUAGAGCUUGAUUGCUUUAGUUUUCACUGAAGAGAAUAUUGGAAUUGUAUAGAGCACUCAUGACUAUCACCAAUCAUUCCCUUGAUUUUUUUACAUUUUGGCGCAAGUAAUUACGCAAGUCACGUGGAAUAGUACCACAAAUAAGGGCAAAUAAGUAAUACCAUAUUAAUAACAUAUGAGCAAGUCACGUGUUCGCACGCUCCUUUUUUCGAUAUACAAAUAUAUUAACAUAAACCACAAGGUAAUUUUCUUAUUUUAUUAUAAAUAUACAUUAAAUCUAUAAAUUAUACAUACAUAUAACUCUAAAUAUUAUACAUAUCUAUGCAAUGGCCAUACAAACUGUAUAAUUAAUAUAAGUUUGUAUAUAAUCUAUAAAUUAUGUUAUGUGUGGAACAUUCACAUGAUAAACUGUAUAUUCAAGCAGUAAUAUUUGAUCAAGUUUCUUAUUGACAUUUCCUUUAAAUUAAUUUAUAAUUCUCAAAUUAACAAAACUUUUUUUAGAACAUCAAAAUUAAUUUCAGGCGUAAAACACGCAUCCUUCUAUUUGCUUUUAGGAAAACGAACAAGUCUAAAGCAUUCACAUAUUACAUGAGCAAAGAAUGUGGAAUUUUUCUAAAUUUGAUUCGUUUAAACCGGACCAUAAUAAUGUGAGUAGCUUAAAUUAGAUAUUUUUAUUAUGUAUAUAUGUAAGAAUACUUCUUCUUCUGUUGUAAAAAAAAUAGAACACUUUAUCUAUUUCCUAAAUUUUAACUCACCAUCAAUUCAUUUCUGUUAUCCACAAUGAGGAAAUCCCUUCAACUCUUAUUCACCUUCUUAACCGUAUUCAUCAUUCUUUCAUUAGGAAUGAUGAUAGAUGCACAGAAAAAGGAAACAAAACUAUGUCCUUAUAAAAUCGCACAUAACUCAAAGCAAUGUUUUCCAAUACUAUGUCGAAAUGAGUGUAAGAAGAAAUUCCCACCUAGUGGUAGUGGUGUUUGUUCGGAUUCUAAGGGAUUUUGUGAUUGCAAUGCUCCUUGUAAGGGUUCUCGCUAAAGGUUGUGAAUGUAAUACACAACCCAAAGUCUAUAUUACCUUUUUAACAAUAAAUGUCUAAAUAUUUUGUGUCACUAAAAUAAAGUAUUAUAAUAUUUGUAUCAGAUCUGUGGAUAUAUUUAUAAUAAAUAAUAAUAUGAAUGUUAAAUGAAUGCAAUUCCCAAUAA
Brassica napus (rape) is the source of this 1803-nucleotide long non-coding RNA. RefSeq lists it as uncharacterized. Lineage: Eukaryota; Viridiplantae; Streptophyta; Magnoliopsida; Brassicales; Brassicaceae. The transcript has 2 exons. The record is from RefSeq and is a predicted model, not a curated record.